CGCAACCCCUGCAUCCAGUUGCCAUCGGGCGAGCCGGGCACUCUGGAGGGACUGCCGGCGACAAGCCGGAGGAAGGUGGGGAUGACGUCAAGUCAUCAUGGCCCUUAUGUCCAGGGCGACACACGUGCUACAAUGGCCGGCACAGCGGGAAGCGGAGGGGCGACCCUGAGCGGAUCCCUUGAAAGCCGGUCCCAGUUCGGAUUGCAGUCUGCAACUCGACUGCAUGAAGUUGGAAUCGCUAGUAAUCGCCGGAUCAGCCAAGCCGCGGUGAAUACGUUCCCGGUCUU
RNAcentral lists this ribosomal RNA (287 nucleotides) under uncultured Thermovirga sp. RNAcentral's name for it is "partial 16S ribosomal RNA". It matches the Rfam family "Bacterial small subunit ribosomal RNA", at positions 1097 to 1381 of the family's 1533-position model. Lineage: Bacteria; Thermotogati; Synergistota; Synergistia; Synergistales; Thermovirgaceae. The record is from RNAcentral.